Molecule: ribosomal RNA, 505 nt
Filed under: uncultured bacterium
Lineage: Bacteria
Description: bacterial SSU rRNA
Rfam family: Bacterial small subunit ribosomal RNA
Source: RNAcentral
GACGAACGCUGGCGGCGUGGAUUAGGCAUGCAAGUCGAACGGUAUCAUCCUUUCGGGGGUGAGAGAGUGGCGAACUGGUGAGUAACACGUAGGUUAUCUACCCUCAAGACGGGGACAACCCAGGGAAACUUGGGCUAAUACCGGAUGUGAGCAACUUUUAGUUGUUUGAAAGGUGGCGUAAGCUGUCGCUUGGGGAUGAGCCUGCGUCCUAUUAGUUAGUUGGUGAGGUAACGGCUCACCUAGGCAAUGAUAGGUAGGCGGCCUUAACGGGUGGUCGCCCACACUGGGAUUGAGAUACGGCCCAGACUCCUACGGGAGGCAGCAGUCGAGAAUAGUCUACAAUGGUCGGAAGACUGAUAGUGCGACGCCGCGUGAACGAUGAAUCCCUUCGGGGUGUAAAGUUCUUUUAUAUGUGAGCAGUGCUUCUUAUAUUAACAGUAUGGGGAGAGAGAUAUUAGCAUAUGAAUAAGCAACGGCUAACUCCGUGCCAGCAGCCGGGUAAUCU